GAGGGGGCUCAGGUGUGACCUGGCCAGGUGAGGGGGGGCUCAGGUGUGACCUGGCCAGGUGAGGGGGGGCUCAGGUGUGACCUGUCCAGGUGAAUCUCUCAGACCCACCUGAGCCCCCCUCACCCACCCCCCCCCAACC
Long non-coding RNA from Serinus canaria (Common canary), 139 nucleotides. RefSeq lists it as uncharacterized. The record is from RefSeq and is a predicted model, not a curated record. Lineage: Eukaryota; Metazoa; Chordata; Aves; Passeriformes; Fringillidae. The transcript is spliced from 3 exons.